CAAGGCUAAAACUCAAAGGAAUUGACGGGGGCCCGCACAAGCGGCGGAGCAUGCGGAUUAAUUCGAUGCAACGCGAAGAACCUUACCAAGGCUUGACAUAUACCGGAAACUUCCAGAAAUGGUUGCCCCGCAAGGUCGGUAUACAGGUGGUGCAUGGUUGUCGUCAGCUCGUGUCGUGAGAUGUUGGGUUAAGUCCCGCAACGAGCGCAACCCUCGUUCUAUGUUGCCAGCACGUUAUGGUGGGAACUCAUAGGAGACUGCCGGGGUCAACUCGGAGGAAGGUGGGGAUGACGUCAAAUCAUCAUGCCCCUUAUGUCUUGGGCUUCACGCAUGCUACAAUGGCCGGUACAAAGGGCUGCGAUACCGUAAGGUGGAGCGAAUCCCAAAAAGCCGGUCUCAGUUCGGAUUGAGGUCUGCAACUCGACCUCAUGAAGUCGGAGUCGCUAGUAAUCGCAGAUCAGCAACGCUGCGGUGAAUACGUUCCCGGGCCUUGUACACACCGCCCGUCAAGUCAUGAAAGUCGGUAACACCCGAAGCCAGUGGCCUAACCGUAAGGAGGGAGCUGUCGAAGGUGGGAUCGGUGAUUAGGACUAAGUCGUAACAAGGUAGCCGUACCGGAAGGUGCGGCUGGAUCACCUCCUUUCUAAGGA
This 650-nucleotide ribosomal RNA is filed under the name Rathayibacter rathayi. Its description in RNAcentral is "bacterial SSU rRNA". It matches the Rfam family "Bacterial small subunit ribosomal RNA", at positions 889 to 1533 of the family's 1533-position model. Lineage: Bacteria; Bacillati; Actinomycetota; Actinomycetes; Micrococcales; Microbacteriaceae. The record is from RNAcentral.